Molecule: ribosomal RNA, 507 nt
Filed under: uncultured bacterium
Lineage: Bacteria
Description: bacterial SSU rRNA
Rfam family: Bacterial small subunit ribosomal RNA
Source: RNAcentral
CAAUUAGGAAUCUUGCGCAAUGGGCGAAAGCCUGACGCAGCGACGCCGCGUGAGCGAUGAAGUCUUUCGGGAUGUAAAGCUCUGUCCUGUGGGGAAGAAGAAUGUGACGGUACCCGCAGAGAAAGCCCCGGCUAACUACGUGCCAGCAGCCGCGGUAAUACGUAGGGGGCGAGCGUUGUCCGAAUUUACUGGGCGUAAAGCGCGUGUAGGCGGUUCUUUAAGUCAAGUGUGAAAUCCUGUGGCUCAACCACAGAACUGCACUUGAAACUGAAGGGCUUGAGUGUGGGAGAGGAAAGUGGAAUUCCUGGUGUAGCGGUGAAAUGCGUAGAUAUCAGGAGGAACACCCGUGGCGAAGGCGGCUUUCUGGCCCACCACUGACGCUGAGACGCGAAAGCUAGGGGAGCGAACGGGAUUAGAUACCCCGGUAGUCCUAGCCGUAAACGAUGGAUACUAGGUGUUAGAGGUAUCGACCCCUCUAGUGCCGUAGCUAACGCAUUAAGUAUCCCG